UACGAAGGGGGCUAGCGUUGCUCGGAAUCACUGGGCGUAAAGCGCACGUAGGCGGCUUUUUAAGUCAGGGGUGAAAUCCUGGAGCUCAACUCCAGAACUGCCUCUGAUGCUGAAAGGCUUGAGUCCGGGAGAGGUGAGUGGAACUGCGAGUGUAGAGGUGAAAUUCGUAGAUAUUCGCAAGAACACCAGUGGCGAAGGCGGCUCACUGGCCCGGUACUGACGCUGAGGUGCGAAAGCGUGGGGAGCAAACAGG
This 253-nucleotide ribosomal RNA is filed under the name uncultured bacterium. RNAcentral describes it as "partial 16S ribosomal RNA". It matches the Rfam family "Bacterial small subunit ribosomal RNA", at positions 524 to 776 of the family's 1533-position model. The record is from RNAcentral.